CACCCCUGGACACCAAACCUGGAUUCGCCAUUUGCCACUUUAAUCCUUACAAUGGCAAUGACAGCAUGGAUUCAGUAAAUUAUUAUAAGAGGUCACCAAUGUACAUAAGAUACUUGGCAACAGUGGCUGUCCACUAAAUUGUGGCUAUGACAACCAUCAGCACAAAGCAGCCUUCAGCAUACACUGUAAGACUAGUUCCCUGGGAGGACUGAGAUCAACUUUCCACCACAGGAAAGGACCGGCGCCAAGGCAACACUUGCACGGCCACAGGGGCUCUGUCACAAUGCAGCUAGGAAAGUAACCAGACAGCAGAGGUGCGGCCUAGGGGCCAGGGAGCUAGAGUCACGAGCAAGGGGACCUGGUGUUUUGUGGCUCUCAGAAACAACUGGCACCACAGAGAAGGAAAGAGAGAAGACACACAGCAGGAGAAAUCAAGUAAUAACCAAUAGCCAGACGAUGAUCACAAAAAUUCACCCCACUGGCUGGGGGCGGUGGCUCAUGCGUGUCAUCCCAGCACUUUGGGAAGUCGAGACCAAUUUUUGACAGAUCCAGGACAACAUCACAAAGAGCCUAAUGAGGUUAUCAUGAAAAUAUCCUCACUGCGUUGCUGAGAAUAGUGAAAACUGAGAAACGACUUACGUGUCCAAAGAAGUGUGGCUAGUUAAGAAACAUCUGUGUACUCGAGACGAUACAGACAGAAUUUGGUGAAGAUGCUCUACUUAUUAUACUGCUAGGUGUGAAACGCAGGGCGUAAGGCUUAUGAAUACUUUUAUACAAAGGAGCCUCUCUGUUCUAAGGUGUGCACGGGAGCAAGUAAAGAACAUCUGUAAUGACAGACACAAGAAUUAAAAUAUCGCGUCUUGAAA
Macaca mulatta (Rhesus monkey) is the source of this 866-nucleotide non-coding RNA. NCBI's taxonomy places the organism in Eukaryota, Metazoa, Chordata, Mammalia, Primates, Cercopithecidae. The record is from RefSeq and is a predicted model, not a curated record.